Molecule: ribosomal RNA, 1421 nt
Filed under: uncultured bacterium
Lineage: Bacteria
Description: bacterial SSU rRNA
Rfam family: Bacterial small subunit ribosomal RNA
Source: RNAcentral
AGAGUUUGAUCCUGGCUCAGGACGAACGCUGGCGGCGUGCCUAAUACAUGCAAGUCGAACGCUUCUUUCCUCCCGAGUGCUUGCACUCAAUUGGAAAGAGGAGUGGCGGACGGGUGAGUAACACGUGGGUAACCUACCCAUCAGAGGGGGAUAACACUUGGAAACAGGUGCUAAUACCGCAUAACAGUUUAUGCCGCAUGGCAUAAGAGUGAAAGGCGCUUUCGGGUGUCGCUGAUGGAUGGACCCGCGGUGCAUUAGCUAGUUGGUGAGGUAACGGCUCACCAAGGCCACGAUGCAUAGCCGACCUGAGAGGGUGAUCGGCCACACUGGGACUGAGACACGGCCCAGACUCCUACGGGAGGCAGCAGUAGGGAAUCUUCGGCAAUGGACGAAAGUCUGACCGAGCAACGCCGCGUGAGUGAAGAAGGUUUUCGGAUCGUAAAACUCUGUUGUUAGAGAAGAACAAGGACGUUAGUAACUGAACGUCCCCUGACGGUAUCUAACCAGAAAGCCACGGCUAACUACGUGCCAGCAGCCGCGGUAAUACGUAGGUGGCAAGCGUUGUCCGGAUUUAUUGGGCGUAAAGCGAGCGCAGGCGGUUUCUUAAGUCUGAUGUGAAAGCCCCCGGCUCAACCGGGGAGGGUCAUUGGAAACUGGGAGACUUGAGUGCAGAAGAGGAGAGUGGAAUUCCAUGUGUAGCGGUGAAAUGCGUAGAUAUAUGGAGGAACACCAGUGGCGAAGGCGGCUCUCUGGUCUGUAACUGACGCUGAGGCUCGAAAGCGUGGGGAGCAAACCAGGAUUAGAAUACCCUGGUAGUCCACGCCGUAAACGAUGAGUGCUAAGUGUUGGAGGGUUUCCGCCCUUCAGUGCUGCAGCAAACGCAUUAAGCACUCCGCCUGGGGAGUACGACCGCAAGGUUGAAACUCAAAGGAAUUGACGGGGGCCCGCACAAGCGGUGGAGCAUGUGGUUUAAUUCGAAGCAACGCGAAGAACCUUACCAGGUCUUGACAUCCUUUGACCACUCUAGAGAUAGAGCUUUCCCUUCGGGGACAAAGUGACAGGUGGUGCAUGGUUGUCGUCAGCUCGUGUCGUGAGAUGUUGGGUUAAGUCCCGCAACGAGCGCAACCCUUAUUGUUAGUUGCCAUCAUUCAGUUGGGCACUCUAGCGAGACUGCCGGUGACAAACCGGAGGAAGGUGGGGAUGACGUCAAAUCAUCAUGCCCCUUAUGACCUGGGCUACACACGUGCUACAAUGGAUGGUACAACGAGUCGCGAAGUCGUGAGGCCAAGCUAAUCUCUUAAAGCCAUUCUCAGUUCGGAUUGUAGGCUGCAACUCGCCUACAUGAAGCCGGAAUCGCUAGUAAUCGCGGAUCAGAACGCCGCGGUGAAUACGUUCCCGGGUCUUGUACACACCGCCCGUCA